RNAcentral lists this ribosomal RNA (367 nucleotides) under uncultured organism. Its description in RNAcentral is "bacterial LSU rRNA". It matches the Rfam family "Bacterial large subunit ribosomal RNA", at positions 2099 to 2465 of the family's 2925-position model. The record is from RNAcentral.
CUUUACUAUAGCUUUGCAAUGAUAUUAAAGAUUAAAUGUGUAGAAUAGGUGGUAGACUAGGAUACUGUAACGCUAGUUACAGUGGAGUCGUCGUUGAAAUACCACUCUUUUGAUUUUUGAUAUCUAACCAAGGUCUGUUACAGUAGAUCUGGGACAUUGCAUGGUGGGUAGUUUGACUGGGGCGGUCGCCUCCUAAAGAGUAACGGAGGCGUUCAAAGGUUGGCUCAGGUGGGAUAAAGCCACUGCAAGAGUGUAAUAGCAUAAGCCAGCUUGACUGCAAGACUGACAAGUCGCGCAGGGACGAAAGUCGGAUAUAGUGAUCUGGUGCUUCUGCGAGGAAGGGGCAUCACUCAACGGAUAAAAGGUA